AGGGCGCAUGGUGGAUGCCUUGGCACGAGGAGGCGAUGAAGGACGUGGCCUGUCUGCGAAAAGUCUCGGGGAGCUGACAAGCAAGCUUUGAUCCGGGAAUGUCCGAAUGGGGAAACCCGACUGGAAUGAAUUCCAGUCACCCUCCACUGAACACAUAGGUGGAGAGGAGCUAACCUGGGGAAGUGAAACAUCUCAGUACCCAGAGGAAGAGAAAUCAAGUCAGAGAUUCCCCUAGUAGCGGCGAGCGAAGGGGGAAGAGGCCAAACCAGAGGACUUCGGUCUUCUGGGGUUGUAGGGCUCCCGUACGUGAUCCGUGAUUAGAUAGCCGAACCCAGCUGGAAAGCUGGACCAGAGAGGGUGACAGUCCCGUAGGCGAAAUCGAACAGCGGCGCAGGGAGUACCUGAGUACCACAGGGCACGUGAAACCCGGUGGGAACCUGGGAGGACCAUCUUCCAAGCCUAAAUACUACCUCGUGACCGAUAGCGUACCAGUACCGUGAGGGAAAGGUGAAAAGCACCCCGGUUAGGGGAGUGAAAGAGACCUGAAACCGUGUGCCUACAAGCAGUCGGAGGACUAUGGUUCGUCCAGUCUGACGGCGUGCCUUUUGCAUAAUGAUGCGGCGAGUUGUCCUACGUAGCAAGGUUAAGCCGUUACAGGUGAAGCCGAAGGGAAACCGAGUCUGAAUAGGGCGUCUAGUUGCGUGGGGCAGACCCGAAGCGGGAUGAUCUAGUCAUGGGCAGGUUGAAGCGCGGGUAAAACCGCGUGGAGGACCGAACCGGUUGAGGUUGAAAACUCUUCGGAUGACCUGUGAUUAGGGGUGAAAGGCCAAUCAAAUUCCGGGAUAGCUGGUUCUCCCCGAAAGAUAUCUAGGUAUCGUCUUUGGACAUUCAGUCGCGGAGGUAGAGCACUGGAAGGGCUAGGGGUCUUACCAGAUUACCAAACCCUACCAAACUCCGAAUGCCGCGAACUGUUAUCCAGGGAAGCAGUCGCCGGGUACUAAGGUCAGGCGACGAGAGGGACAGAGCCCAGACCGACAGCUAAGGUCCCAAAGUUCUGGCUAAGUGGUAAAGGAUGUGGGAACGCUCUGACAGCCAGGAGGUUGGCUUAGAAGCAGCCACCCUUCAAAGAAAGCGUAAUAGCUCACUGGUCAAGCGGGCCUGCGCCAAAAAUUUAACGGGGCUCAAGCCAGACACCGAAGCUUCGGAUCUAUGAGGACUACGGUCCUCGUGGGUGGUAGGGGAGCAUCGUAGCGGCAAAGAAGGUUGACCGAAAGGACAGCUGGAGCUUCUACGAGAGAUUAUGCCGCAAUGAGUAGCGAUAAAAGGAGUGAGAAACUCCUUCGCCGGAAGCCCAAGGUUUCCCGGGCCAGGUUAAUCCUCCCGGGGUUAGUCGGAUCCUAAGCCGAGGCCGAGAGGCGUAGGCGAUGGCAAACAGGUUAAUAUUCCUGUACCUGACCUGAUCGUUGAGACGAGCGGGGACGAAGAAGGGCAGCUGAGCCACAUAUCGGAUGGUGGUUUAAGCCUGUAGGCUGGGGACAUACGAAACCAAAGGUGUCCCCUUUAAGGCCGAGAGGUGACGACGAGCGAGGUCUUCGGACCGAGCGAAGUCAGUGAUCCCACGCUUCCAAGAAAAGCCGCGCGUGGAGUGAAAGGUCAGUCCGUACCGCAAACCGACACAGGUGGGCAGGGAGAGAAUCCCGAGGCGCUUGAGAGAACCGAGCCUAAGGAACUCUGCAAAUUGGCACCGUAACUUCGGGAUAAGGUGCGCCUCCGGUACGUGUAGGGACUUGCUCCCGAAGCGGAUGGAGGUUGCAGUGACCAGGCGGUGGCGACUGUUUACCUAAAACACAGCACUCUGCAAAACCGUAAGGUGAAGUAUAGGGUGUGACGCCUGCCCGGUGCUGGAAGGUUAAAGGGACCUGUUAGCCGCAAGGCGAAGCAGUGAACUGAAGCCCCAGUAAACGGCGGCCGUAACUAUAACGGUCCUAAGGUAGCGAAAUUCCUUGUCGGGUAAGUUCCGACCUGCACGAAUGGCGUAACGAUCUCCGCACUGUCUCGGGCUCGGACUCAGCGAAAUUGAGAGUGCUGUGAAAACGCAGUGUACCCGCGGCAAGACGGAAAGACCCCGUGAACCUUUACUGCAACUUGGCACUGAUGUUCGGGCGUGUUUGUGUAGGAUAGGUGGGAGGCUUUGAAGCCGGUGCGCUAGCAUCGGUGGAGCCAACGGUGAAAUACCACCCUGAUGCGUCUGGGCAUCUAACCUAGGUCCGUGAUCCGGAUCAGGAACAAUGUCUGGUGGGCAGUUUGACUGGGGCGGUCGCCUCCCAAAGAGUAACGGAGGCGCGCGAUGGUUCCCUCAGCCCGAUUGGAAACCGGGCGUCGAGUGCAAUGGCAUAAGGGAGCUUGACUGCGAGAUAGACAUAUCGAGCAGGUGCGAAAGCAGGUCAUAGUGAUCCGGUGGUUCCGCAUGGAAGGGCCAUCGCUCAACGGAUAAAAGGUACUCCGGGGAUAACAGGCUUAUCACGUCCAAGAGUUCACAUCGACGACGUGGUUUGGCACCUCGAUGUCGGCUCAUCGCAUCCUGGGGCUGAAGUCGGUCCCAAGGGUAUGGCUGUUCGCCAUUUAAAGCGGUACGCGAGCUGGGUUCAGAACGUCGUGAGACAGUUCGGUCCCUAUCUGCCGUGGGCGUAGGAGAUUUGAGGGAAGCUGACCUUAGUACGAGAGGACCGGGUUGGACGAACCUCUGGUGCACCAGUUGUCACGCCAGUGGCAUUGCUGGGUAGCUAUGUUCGGAAGGGAUAACCGCUGAAAGCAUCUAAGCGGGAAGCCCAUCCCAAGAUAAGAUCUCCCGGGUCGCAAGGCCCCUAAAGGCUCCUUCUAGACUAGGAGGUAAUAGGCCGGGUGUGGAAGCGCAGCAAUGCGUGAAGCUUACCGGUACUAAUCAGCCGUGAGGCUUGGCA
RNAcentral lists this ribosomal RNA (2960 nucleotides) under bioreactor sludge metagenome. Its description in RNAcentral is "bacterial LSU rRNA". It matches the Rfam family "Bacterial large subunit ribosomal RNA". The record is from RNAcentral.